Hypanus sabinus (Atlantic stingray) is the source of this 672-nucleotide long non-coding RNA. RefSeq lists it as uncharacterized. The transcript has 3 exons. NCBI's taxonomy places the organism in Eukaryota, Metazoa, Chordata, Chondrichthyes, Myliobatiformes, Dasyatidae. The record is from RefSeq and is a predicted model, not a curated record.
ACUGUUACGGAAACAGCAACGAAGAAUCCUAUAUCAAAGUGUGAUGGCAUUCCUGCCUUGUGAGACUGUCAGUAGUGAAAACCGAGAGGAAGCGACUGACAUGAUGAAGGAACUGGUGAACGCUGCCGGGGUGAAGGACCUUCAGUGCUGCCCUAAACGGGCAGUAAGUCAGUAAAUGCAACGUGUAGUGUAAAUGUCUGUGAUGGCGGAAAGAGAGACCCCGAUGAUCUUCUCAACUGACCUCACUAUCUGCUGCAGGGUAACAUUACCAUAGAAAAAUAGCCUCCGUCAUCAAAGGUCCUCGCCUUUCCGGCCAUGCUCUUUUCUCACAGCUGCCAUCAGAUAAAAGGUUCUACUGUGCUUCAACACACACAAAAUGCUGGUGGAACACAGCAGGCUACGCAGCAUCUAUAGGGAGAAGCGCUGUCGACGUUUCGGGCUGAGACCCUUCGUCAGGACUAACCGAAAGGAAAGAUAGUAAGAGAUUUGAAAGAUUUCUACGAUGCUUCUUUUGUUUUGCGGCUGCCUGCAAGAAGACGAAUCUCAAGGAUGUAUACUGUAUACAAACUUCGAUUAUAUCAGAAUCAGAAUCAUAAGACCAUAAGUUAUCGGAGCAGAAUUAGGCCAUUUGUUCCAUCGAGAUCUGUCCGCCAUUUCAUCAUGUCUGAUCCA